Molecule: ribosomal RNA, 254 nt
Filed under: uncultured bacterium
Lineage: Bacteria
Also listed under: 1 other name
Description: partial 16S ribosomal RNA
Rfam family: Bacterial small subunit ribosomal RNA
Source: RNAcentral
UACGAAGGGUGCUAGCGUUGUUCGGAAUCACUGGGCGUAAAGCGCACGUAGGCGGUCCGCACCAGUCAGGCGUGAAAGCCCCGGGCUCAACCCGGGAAUAGCGCUUGAUACUAGCGGGCUAGAGUCCGGGAGAGGAUAGUGGAAUUCCCAGUGUAGAGGUGAAAUUCGUAGAUAUUGGGAAGAACACCAGUGGCGAAGGCGGCUAUCUGGACCGGUACUGACGCUGAGGUGCGAAAGCGUGGGGAGCAAACAGG